GACGAACGCUGGCGGCGUGCCUAAUACAUGCAAGUCGAGCGCAGGAAACUGACGGAACUCUUCGGAGGGAAGGCAGUGGAAUGAGCGGCGGACGGGUGAGUAACACGUAAGGAACCUGCCUCAAGGAUUGGGAUAACUCCGAGAAAUCGGAGCUAAUACCGGAUAGUUCAACGGACCGCAUGGUCCGCUGAUGAAAGGCGCUUCGGCGUCACCUUGAGAUGGCCUUGCGGUGCAUUAGCUAGUUGGUGGGGUAACGGCCCACCAAGGCGACGAUGCAUAGCCGACCUGAGAGGGUGAUCGGCCACACUGGGACCGAGACACGGCCCAGACUCCUACGGGAGGCAGCAGUAGGGAAUCUUCCACAAUGGACGAAAGUCUGAUGGAGCAACGCCGCGUGAGUGAUGAAGGUUUUCGGAUCGUAAAACUCUGUUGUAAGGGAAGAACACGUACGAGAGGGAAUGCUCGUACCUUGACGGUACCUUACGAGAAAGCCACGGCUAACUACGUGCCAGCAGCCGCAGUAA
Molecule: ribosomal RNA, 524 nt
Filed under: uncultured bacterium
Lineage: Bacteria
Description: partial 16S ribosomal RNA
Rfam family: Bacterial small subunit ribosomal RNA
Source: RNAcentral